GACGAACGCUGGCGGCGUGCUUAACACAUGCAAGUCGAACGGAAAGGCCCUGCUUUUGUGGGGUGCUCGAGUGGCGAACGGGUGAGUAACACGUGAGUAACCUGCCCUUGACUUUGGGAUAACUUCAGGAAACUGGGGCUAAUACCGGAUAGGAGCUCCUGCUGCAUGGUGGGGGUUGGAAAGUUUCGGCGGUUGGGGAUGGACUCGCGGCUUAUCAGCUUGUUGGUGGGGUAGUGGCUGACCAAGGCUUUGACGGGUAGCCGGCCUGAGAGGGUGACCGGCCACCUUGGGCCUGAGAUACGGCCCAGACUCCUACGGGAGGCAGCAGUGGGGAAUAUUGCACAAUGGGCGGAAGCCUGAUGCAGCAACGCCGCGUGCGGGAUGACGGCCUUCGGGUUGUAAACCGCUUUCGCCUGUGACGAAGCGUGAGUGACGGUAAUGGGUAAAGAAGCACCGGCUAACUACGUG
RNAcentral lists this ribosomal RNA (468 nucleotides) under uncultured bacterium. Its description in RNAcentral is "partial 16S ribosomal RNA". It matches the Rfam family "Bacterial small subunit ribosomal RNA", at positions 28 to 507 of the family's 1533-position model. The record is from RNAcentral.